Molecule: ribosomal RNA, 252 nt
Filed under: uncultured Lactobacillus sp.
Lineage: Bacteria; Bacillati; Bacillota; Bacilli; Lactobacillales; Lactobacillaceae
Description: partial 16S ribosomal RNA
Rfam family: Bacterial small subunit ribosomal RNA
Source: RNAcentral
UAACACGUGGGGAACCUGCCCCAUAGUCUGGGAUACCACUUGGAAACAGGUGCUAAUACCGGAUAAGAAAGCAGAUCGCAUGAUCAGCUUUUAAAAGGCGGCGUAAGCUGUCGCUAUGGGAUGGCCCCGCGGUGCAUUAGCUAGUUGGUAAGGUAAAGGCUUACCAAGGCGAUGAUGCGUAGCCGAGUUUAGAGACUGAUCGGCCACAUUGGGACUGAGACACGGCCCAAACUCCUACGGGAGGCAGCAGUC